GCAAACUUGGUCAUUUAGAGGAAGUAAAAGUCGUAACAAGGUUUCCGUAGGUGAACCUGCGGAAGGAUCAUCACUGAUCUGUGGGGUGUGUUCGCAUUCAUGUGUCACACCCCCACCCAAUCUUUUGUGCACGGUUUCACGGUCAACGAGGCGCCGCGUGUGUGUUGGUGGGUCCCAGUGGCUUGCCAGCCGCAUGCGCGUGCGUUCUCUGCUUGCAAUCUCUGUGUAAUCUCUGUCUAACGUGUGUUACCCACUAACAAUACAACUUUCAACAAUGGAUCUCUUGGCUCUCGCAUCGAUGAAGAACGCAGC
This 312-nucleotide unclassified non-coding RNA is filed under the name uncultured fungus. Its description in RNAcentral is "partial contains small subunit ribosomal RNA, internal transcribed spacer 1, and 5.8S ribosomal RNA". The stretch from base 1 to 73 matches the Rfam family "Eukaryotic small subunit ribosomal RNA", at positions 1759 to 1831 of the family's 1831-position model. Lineage: Eukaryota; Fungi. The record is from RNAcentral.